RNAcentral lists this ribosomal RNA (551 nucleotides) under uncultured bacterium. RNAcentral describes it as "bacterial SSU rRNA". It matches the Rfam family "Bacterial small subunit ribosomal RNA", at positions 355 to 896 of the family's 1533-position model. The record is from RNAcentral.
UGGGGAAUCUUCCGCAAUGGGCGAAAGCCUGACGGAGCAACGCCGCGUGAGUGAAGACGGCCUUCGGGUUGUAAAGCUCUGUUAUACGAGACGAAUAGUCUUGUGGUUAAUACCCAUAAGAAGUGACGGUACCGUAAGAGAAAGCCACGGCUAACUACGUGCCAGCAGCCGCGGUAAUACGUAGGUGGCAAGCGUUGUCCGGAAUUAUUGGGCGUAAAGGGCGCGCAGGCGGCUUCUUAAGUCUGUCUUAAAAGUGCGGGGCUUAACCCCGUGAUGGGAUGGAAACUGGGAAGCUCAGAGUAUCGGAGAGGAAAGCGGAAUUCCUAGUGUAGCGGUGAAAUGCGUAGAUAUUAGGAGGAACACCAGUGGCGAAAGCGGCUUUCUGGACGAAAACUGACGCUGAGGCGCGAAAGCCAGGGGAGCGAACGGGAUUAGAUACCCCGGUAGUCCUGGCCGUAAACGAUGGGUACUAGGUGUAGGAGGUAUCGACCCCUUCUGUGCCGGAGUUAACGCAAUAAGUACCCCGCCUGGGGAGUACGGCCGCAAGGUUG